AACGAACGCUGGCGGCGUGCCUAACACAUGCAAGUCGAACGAGACGUUCGGGUCUAUGUGCGCAGGGGGGGGUAACGCGGGGUAACCUGCCCGUAGGUUCGGAAUAACUCCCUGAGAGGGGUGCUAAUACCGGAUAAGGUCUUCGGAGCAAAGAGUUAUCGCCGUUGGCUGGGGCCGUGUUGGCUUAGCUGGUUGGUAGGGUAAAAGCAUACCAAGGCGACGAUCCAUAGCUGGUCGGAGAGGAUGAUCAUGCAGGCUGGGACUGCGACCCGGACUAGACGCCUACGCGACGCAGCAGUAUGGAAUAUUGGGCGCUGGGCCCAAGUCUGACAACGCCACGCCGCGUGAGUGAUCAAGGCCUUAGGGUUCCAAAGCCGUUUUACCCGGGAUGAUAAUGACAGUACCGGGAGAAUAAGCUCCGGCUAACUCCGUG
RNAcentral lists this ribosomal RNA (433 nucleotides) under uncultured bacterium. RNAcentral describes it as "partial 16S ribosomal RNA". It matches the Rfam family "Bacterial small subunit ribosomal RNA", at positions 29 to 507 of the family's 1533-position model. The record is from RNAcentral.